GAGACAUCAUGUGUGGUGACAAAACAUUAACACUGUCUUGAUCAAAUCUUCUGGUUGAUGAUGAUGAAAAGCUAAGCCUCAGAUUGCUUUUCCAACGCUUAGGGCUUUUAACUUGUACUGCUUGAUCUUGAGCUUUCUUCCCUUGGCGUACAAAUGUUCUGAUCCUUUUGAGUGCAACUUCCACAGUCUCGUCAUCCAUGUUUGCAAAACAAACCCUAAACCAACCAGGCUCCACGCACUUAAAAGAAGACCCUGGGGAGACAUUGAGCCCCACUUCAUUCACAAUCACACGCCAAAGCACCAUCUCACCAUCAAAUGUUUGAUCUUUCAACA
This 333-nucleotide long non-coding RNA is filed under the name Prunus persica (peach). RNAcentral's name for it is "long non-coding RNA (PPER_LNC002748)". The record is from RNAcentral. Lineage: Eukaryota; Viridiplantae; Streptophyta; Magnoliopsida; Rosales; Rosaceae.